UCUCUCUCUGUGUGUGUGUGUUUUUGUCCUGUCUGUCUGUCUGUUCCUUCUCAUAUCCCAAUGGACUCUUGUAGACCCCUCUCGGUCCCAAAACAGAGAUGUAGUGUUUUCAUUUUAACAACUAGAUCAUUGUUAUGUCAUCAGAGACAAUUACUACUGAGGGAUAUGAUUUUGUUGAUUACAGCAUUACUUUGUAAGGAAUCAAGAAGGAAGACAAGAUAUUUAAUCAGGGACAGUUAGAAGACUCUUUAAAAACAGACAUUCAUCUUUUAAGAUAACAAUCACAUGUACAUCUUUUGUGUACUCUUUCUGGCCAUUUUAAUAGCUCUGUAUGUUUUAACCCUUGAACCUUUACCUCCAUUACAGUAAUGAUAAUGAUACCAGUUUCAUGACUAUUUUCUCUAUCCAGUCAUAGCCUUGCAGGGUUAAAACAUUUCACAUACUGUAUCCUUUGGCCUUAGGUGGUUCUCACAUGCAGGUGACUGACCACUGAUUAACUUGGUGAUGGAAGGAUGUAUAUAGACCUGAGGGAAAAGCACCUUAGAUGGAUAAUCAAUAGUUAUAAUUUAGUUUAUUCAGGAACACAGAUAAUAUAACAAUGUGAUUCUUAUUCUAUAGAUUAGGAAGCAAGGCACAGAGGAGAUGGAAUUCCUCAAGAGAAAGUCAAGGCUAGGCAUGAAAGAGUUUUAAUUCUUAGUUCUAUAAUUUUCUUUUUGAUCUGUCUAAAUGGAAUUCAUGGUAGAGAAAAAAAGAGUUGUUUUUAGAUUAUAUAGGGGAAAUACCAGGCAAAUAAGCCACAUGUAUGUAGGCUGUAUUAUGCCGCACGCGAAUUCUUUCUGGCAUGCUUUAGUAUGAUGUAAUGGAGAGACAUAGUUGUGCUCAAUCUAAGACUUACGAUUCUUAUGGUGCUUACUGAAGAAGACUGAAGAAAUGAAUCACUUCAGAAAAGAGUAUAAAAAGGCAAGGUUUGGCUGGUAAUAUCACACAAUGCUUUUAUCAAUAGGCCAUAUUUGGACAAAUGCCCAAUCUACAUUUACAUUCAACAAUUUUUGAAAAGUUGAAUGAGUAAACUCCACAUUGUAUACGCAAAACAGUAUUUGACAACCAUUAAAGCAUCAAGCCAUUUUUUCUUAUUAUUCUUUAUAGAUUCUUUUUUAACCAUUUUUUUCUUCUUUGAGACAGUGAGAGGGGGACAAACUUUGUUAAGGUUGAAUGAUUGAUUAGUCAACUGGUAGUUUAAAAGAAGAUAGUUUGAAUGAAGGAUUGCAGCAGGAGGAAGUUAGCCUGAUAAAAAUCAAUCAAUUCACACCUAUGACACAUUUCUAAGUCAGAACUGAAAAUCAAGAUUUCAUUAGUUCCUAGAAAGUCAAGAUCAAUUAAGCCAAUUGUUGUCUUUUUUCUCCCCUUUGAAAAGGCACAAGGGGAGGUCAAUGGGAGAGUCUGAAGAGAAGCAUCAAGAGGUCUUGGUUCAAAGCAAACUGGAAAAUGACGUCUGCAUAUAAUUCAGAGGUCAGCUGACUGUGGGAGCAAAGCCCCAACAGAUACAUCGAUGGCUGAACCCAAGACUCACAAUACCUUGUGGUAGAAGGGGCUUCACCAGAACUGUGAAGAAUCAGGCAACCAGGAAGUCUGCUUGAGAUCGUGUUUCCAAGGAAUAACGGGAGAGGUACAUCAAUGAUACCUCAACUAUAUGGAUGCCUAACAAGACUAGAACAGAGACAAUUUCAACAAACCUGCUAGGGCUGCUGGUGUGUAUUUGCUGAGUAUUAGCCCAAAUAAUCUUCCCGAUGGAAUAUGAUUACCAGCAUUGAACGUGGAGCUUUCCAUGAUAUGAUUUAGAGUUGAGUGGACCUUUGCCAGCCUUCAGCUACCUGCAACACAGAGUAAGUUGUAUGCCUGGCAGUAAAACAAAUUGAGAACAUUGUUCCCUUUUUGGGGGGUUAUCUUAAAAAUAUUUCUUUUAUUUUUGAUAUUAUAUAAAUACACCAUUUUUCCCUUUCUCUUCUUCUCUUCAAAACUUCCCACACACCCCUCCUUACUUGCAAAUUGUUAGUCUCUUUUUUCAUUAGCUGUUGUUAUAUGCGUGCAUAUAUGUCUAGAUACAUAUAUAUUGCUAAAUAUAAUUUGCUCACUUGGCAUAAUUUUAACUGAGUACAUGUUUUCAGGGCUGACCAUUUAGUAUUGGAUAACCAAUUGGUGUGUUCUUCCUCAAGGAAUAUGACUUCUGAUCUCAGCAUUCCUUAGUUCUCUGUGUAUGGUUGAGUCCUCUUGAGUUUCCUCCAUAUACUAUAGCAUGUCUUUUUUUGCUGUCGUUGUUCAGCUCCUAUUUAGGCAGUCAUGUUGGUGAGAUUUUAUGACUAUAUUUCUGAUUCGCUAGGAGAUACAAACUGCUCAGAAAUCCAUACAGGGAGUAGAUAUCUGAAAGAAAGGGAGGAUUCAUGGGAAAAUGCCAUCAAGAAGAAAACCAGAGCAAGGACUAAUAAAGAGCAGGGCAGUAAUUUAUACAACAGAGACUCAGACCAGUUCUUAUCAGUCAGAUCAACAGUUGGGUCUUUGAAAAUAUCAGAUAAAAUUGACUAAUGCUGAGUCAAUCAAACCAAAAGAAAGAGAACUAAGACUCCAAUUAUAAACAUAAAAGGUAAAAAGGACAUCAUAGUUUCCCAGAAGAUCCAGGUGAUUAUUAGAGAAGACUUUGAAAACCUAUAUCACGACAUUCUUGAAAACCUAGAAGAAAUGUCUAAGUUCCUGGACAGGUAUAUUACACAAAAUCAAACUAGGAUUCUGCAAAGAAUAUAAAUAGAUUUAAAAUGUAUAACAAAAUUGAAACAGUCAUAAAGAAUUUCCCAGAAAAGCAAAGUGGAUUCACAGCCAAAUUCUGAUACACUUUCAAUACUCAAUAAAAUAGAAAGGGGAAGGAACAUUAUUAAAUUUACUACAUGAAGCCAGAAUUUCUAAA
This 2956-nucleotide small RNA is filed under the name Rattus norvegicus (Norway rat). RNAcentral describes it as "uncharacterized LOC103691475". Lineage: Eukaryota; Metazoa; Chordata; Mammalia; Rodentia; Muridae. The record is from RNAcentral.